This 660-nucleotide ribosomal RNA is filed under the name Conticribra weissflogii. RNAcentral's name for it is "partial Bacterial small subunit ribosomal RNA". It matches the Rfam family "Bacterial small subunit ribosomal RNA", at positions 235 to 905 of the family's 1533-position model. The record is from RNAcentral. Lineage: Eukaryota; Bacillariophyta; Thalassiosirophyceae; Thalassiosirales; Thalassiosiraceae.
GGCAGAUUAGGUAGUUGGUGAGGUAAAGGCUCACCAAGCCUUCGAUCUGUAGCUGGUCUGAGAGGACGACCAGCCACACUGGGACUGAGACACGGCCCAGACUCCUACGGGAGGCAGCAGUGGGGAAUAUUGCACAAUGGGCGAAAGCCUGAUGCAGCGACGCCGCGUGAGGGAUGACGGCCUUCGGGUUGUAAACCUCUUUCAGUAGGGAAGAAGCGAAAGUGACGGUACCUGCAGAAGAAGCGCCGGCUAACUACGUGCCAGCAGCCGCGGUAAUACGUAGGGUGCAAGCGUUGUCCGGAAUUAUUGGGCGUAAAGAGCUCGUAGGCGGUUUGUCGCGUCUGCUGUGAAAUCUGGGGGCUCAACCCCCAGCCUGCAGUGGGUACGGGCAGACUAGAGUGCGGUAGGGGAGAUUGGAAUUCCUGGUGUAGCGGUGGAAUGCGCAGAUAUCAGGAGGAACACCGAUGGCGAAGGCAGAUCUCUGGGCCGUAACUGACGCUGAGGAGCGAAAGCAUGGGGAGCGAACAGGAUUAGAUACCCUGGUAGUCCAUGCCGUAAACGUUGGGCACUAGGUGUGGGGAACAUUCCACGUUUUCCGCGCCGUAGCUAACGCAUUAAGUGCCCCGCCUGGGGAGUACGGCCGCAAGGCUAAAACUCAAA